GAUGAACGCUAGCGGCAGGCUUAACACAUGCAAGUCGAGGGGUAUAGUUCUUCGGAACUAGAGACCGGCGCACGGGUGCGUAACGCGUAUGCAAUCUACCUUUCACAAAGGGAUAGCCCAGAGAAAUUUGGAUUAAUACCUUAUAGUAUAACGAGUUCGCAUGGAUUUGUUAUUAAAGAUUUAUCGGUGAAAGAUGAGCAUGCGUCCCAUUAGCUAGUUGGUAAGGUAACGGCUUACCAAGGCUACGAUGGGUAGGGGUCCUGAGAGGGAGAUCCCCCACACUGGUACUGAGACACGGACCAGACUCCUACGGGAGGCAGCAGUGAGGAAUAUUGGUCAAUGGGCGCAAGCCUGAACCAGCCAUGCCGCGUGCAGGAUGACGGUCCUAUGGAUUGUAAACUGCUUUUGUACAGGAAGAAACACCCCGACGUGUCGGGACUUGACGGUACUGUAAGAAUAAGGAUCGGCUAACUCCGUGCCAGCAGCCGCGGUAAUACGGAGGAUCCAAGCGUUAUCCGGAAUCAUUGGGUUUAAAGGGUCCGUAGGCGGCUUAAUAAGUCAGUGGUGAAAGCCCUACGCUUAACGUAGGAACGGCCAUUGAUACUGUUAGGCUUGAAUUAUUAGGAAGUAACUAGAAUAUGUAGUGUAGCGGUGAAAUGCUUAGAGAUUACAUGGAAUACCAAUUGCGAAGGCAGG
Molecule: ribosomal RNA, 696 nt
Filed under: Bacteroidota bacterium
Lineage: Bacteria; Pseudomonadati; Bacteroidota
Description: bacterial SSU rRNA
Rfam family: Bacterial small subunit ribosomal RNA
Source: RNAcentral